Molecule: long non-coding RNA, 574 nt
Organism: Beta vulgaris subsp. vulgaris (sugar beet)
Lineage: Eukaryota; Viridiplantae; Streptophyta; Magnoliopsida; Caryophyllales; Amaranthaceae
Exons: 3
Source: RefSeq, a predicted model, not a curated record
CCACGCCCAAGGAAGAACGUAUUCAGAGAAAAAAUCUGUGAGAAAAGGACAAACCUAAGCUAACUGAUACCAUGAUCCAUCAUCAAUUUAUUUUUUGCAUCCUUCGGAAGGUCCAGUCAAUUCUCUUGCAAAUCGAGGGAGAAAGAAGAAAAACAAAGAUGAAAAAUCACAGGAUAUCAACAUGUGCAUAAUCAACCCAGGAACUAGAGUCAAUGCAUCGAAAAAUCAUACUGAUCUGUGUAAUUUGUUCUUUUCGAAGUCUUCUCCGUCGGAAACCGGCAGCGGCUCAUCCUCGUUUCAGUUUUAUUUUUACAUUUGUAAUGUAAGUUGUUUACAUUUAGUUUACAAAUUUGUUUACAUAUUUACAAUGUAAUUUGUUUUGUAUAUAUUGUAUAUAUUUUUUUUACAUAUGUUUGUAUCUAAUAUUUACAUAUUAAUGCAAAAGAUGUGUUUGUAUAUAAUAUUUACAUAUCAAUGUAAAAUUAUUGCGAUUUUAAAUUGAAAAUAUGGAAUACUGUGAGUUUGAGAGAAAAAAAAGGAAUGACUGCGAUUUUAAGUUAGUGCAAAAUAUUGA